RNAcentral lists this ribosomal RNA (245 nucleotides) under uncultured bacterium. Its description in RNAcentral is "partial 16S ribosomal RNA". It matches the Rfam family "Bacterial small subunit ribosomal RNA", at positions 532 to 776 of the family's 1533-position model. The record is from RNAcentral.
GGGCAAGUGUUGUUCGGAAUUACUGGGCGUAAAGGGCGCGUAGGCGGCACGGCAAGUCAGGAGUGAAAGCCCUGGGCUCAACCCGGGAACUGCUUUUGAAACUGCCGAGCUAGAGUGCGGAAGGGGCAACUGGAAUUCCCAGUGUAGCGGUGAAAUGCGUAGAUAUUGGGAAGAACACCUGAGGCGAAGGCGGGUUGCUGGGCCGACACUGACGCUGAGGCGCGAAAGCCAGGGGAGCGAACGGG